This 434-nucleotide ribosomal RNA is filed under the name uncultured bacterium. RNAcentral describes it as "partial 16S ribosomal RNA". It matches the Rfam family "Bacterial small subunit ribosomal RNA", at positions 29 to 507 of the family's 1533-position model. The record is from RNAcentral.
AGCGAACGCUGGCGGCAGGCCUAACACAUGCAAGUCGAACGAACCUUUCGGGGUUAGUGGCGGACGGGUGAGUAACACGUGGGAACGUGCCUUUAGGUUCGGAAUAACUCAGGGAAACUUGUGCUAAUACCGAAUGUGCCCUUCGGGGGAAAGAUUUAUCGCCUUUCGAGCGGCCCGCGUCUGAUUAGCUAGUUGGUUGAGGUAAUGGCUCACCAAGGCGACGAUCAGUAGCUGGUCUGAGAGGAUGAUCAGCCACAUUGGGACUGAGACACGGCCCAAACUCCUACGGGAGGCAGCAGUGGGGAAUCUUGCGCAAUGGGCGAAAGCCUGACGCAGCCAUGCCGCGUGAAUGAUGAAGGUCUUAGGAUUGUAAAAUUCUUUCACCGGGGACGAUAAUGACGGUAACCGGAGAAGAAGCCCCGGCUAACUUCGUG